AACGUAGGGGGCCAGCGUUGCUCGGAAUUACUGGGCGUAAAGGGUCCGUAGGCGGUGUGGCAAGUCGGAAGUGAAAUCUCUGGGCUUAACCCAGAGGCUGCUUCCGAAACUGCUGUGCUAGAGUGUGAGAGAGGCGAGUGGAAUUGCGGGUGUAGCGGUGAAAUGCGUAGAUAUCCGCAGGAACAUCCGAGGCGAAAGCGGCUCGCUGGGUCACAACUGACGCUGAGGGACGAAAGCUAGGGGAGCAAACAGG
This 253-nucleotide ribosomal RNA is filed under the name uncultured bacterium. RNAcentral's name for it is "partial 16S ribosomal RNA". It matches the Rfam family "Bacterial small subunit ribosomal RNA", at positions 524 to 776 of the family's 1533-position model. The record is from RNAcentral.